RNAcentral lists this transfer RNA (74 nucleotides) under Tannerella sp. Its description in RNAcentral is "tRNA-Pro". It matches the Rfam family "tRNA". From Rfam's summary of the family: Transfer RNA (tRNA) molecules are approximately 80 nucleotides in length. Their secondary structure includes four short double-helical elements and three loops (D, anti-codon, and T loops). The record is from RNAcentral. Lineage: Bacteria; Pseudomonadati; Bacteroidota; Bacteroidia; Bacteroidales; Tannerellaceae.
CGGGGUGUGGCGCAGUUGGCCAGCGCACUUGCAUGGGGUGCAAGAGGUCGGAAGUUCGAGUCUUCUUACCCCGA